GACGAACGCUGGCGGCGUGCUUAACACAUGCAAGUCGAACGGUGAAGCGCCUUCCUUUUUGGUGGGUGUGGAUGAGUGGCGAACGGGUGAGUAACACGUGAGUAACCUGCCCCCUUCUUCUGGAUAACCGCAUGAAAGUGUGGCUAAUACGGGAUAUUCUGGGUCUGUCGCAUGAUGGGUCUGGGAAAGAUAUUGUUUCGGUGGGGGAUGGGCUCGCGGCCUAUCAGCUUGUUGGUGGGGUGAUGGCCUACCAAGGCGGUGACGGGUAGCCGGCCUGAGAGGGUGGACGGUCACACUGGGGCUGAGACACGGCCCAGACUCCUACGGGAGGCAGCAGUGGGGAAUAUUGCACAAUGGGCGAAAGCAUGAUGCAGCGACGCCGCGUGAGGGAUGGAGGCCUUCGGGUUGUGAACCUCUUUCGCCAGUGAAGCAGGCCUGCCUCGUUUGUGGGUGGGUUGACGGUAGCUGGAUAAGAAGCGCCGGCUAACUACGUG
RNAcentral lists this ribosomal RNA (494 nucleotides) under uncultured bacterium. RNAcentral's name for it is "partial 16S ribosomal RNA". It matches the Rfam family "Bacterial small subunit ribosomal RNA", at positions 28 to 507 of the family's 1533-position model. The record is from RNAcentral.